This 135-nucleotide transfer RNA is filed under the name Escherichia phage JLBYU43. RNAcentral's name for it is "tRNA-Phe". The record is from RNAcentral. Lineage: Duplodnaviria; Heunggongvirae; Uroviricota; Caudoviricetes; Demerecviridae.
UGAAGUAUGCCGGAAUCGGUAGACGGGGCUUCCUAAAGGGCGUAAGGGGAACAUCCACUCCUCAUAAGAUACCCGAAAACGAGGCUGAGAUAAAUGGUCUAUCUCGUGAAGGUUCAAGUCCUUCUGCUUCUUGAU